UGCUGCUUUGAAUUUGUUUUUGCUUGUGCAUCUGUUUUUUGCUUGUGUGCUUUAUUUUCAUUUAUGCUUUUGUUUGAAGUUGCAAUCAUAAAGUACAAUGUAUAUAUACAUAGACUGCAUGUUAGUUCAUAGUCUUAUUAUUUAAGCUUAAUUUUUUCUCUUCUUUAGUUUAAACCAUAAAUACAUGUGUUACUUAUCAUCUUUCUUUGGUACAUACAGGAAGACCCGAAUACUGAAGAAAAUGCCUUAUGAGUCCAUUAUAAAAACAGAUGUUUUAAAAAAGGAAAAAGGAAAAAAAAUGAUGUAAAAAUUAUCUAUAGAUGAGUAAAGAAAUAAACUUAGAUCAAUAUUUUAGCAUUCUAAUAUUUAGUGCUUUCAUAAUGACCAAUCCUGUGAGAUUUGAACUACAGGGACAACAACCCAACAACACGCCUUAAAUCAAACAAACACAAAGUGUUAAAUCUGUAGUGUUUUGGAAUUUGAAAGGGAUAUAUUCUUUGGACUAAAUUGUUGAUAUUUCAAACUUUAAAUUUUCUUUACCUAGUAUGUUUUACAUCAGCAUCUGCACCCUUUUAUCAAAAUUAAGACUACAUAGUACUGUAUGUACCAACCAUGUUCCUCCUUGAUACAUGUAUGUUCAAAUGUACAAAAAUAUACUGUUAGAAUUAUU
This 670-nucleotide long non-coding RNA is filed under the name Mytilus galloprovincialis (Mediterranean mussel). The record is from RNAcentral. Lineage: Eukaryota; Metazoa; Mollusca; Bivalvia; Mytilida; Mytilidae.